GUGGGGAAUAUUGGACAAUGGGCGCAAGCCUGAUCCAGCAAUGCCGCGUGCAGGAAGAAGGCCUUCGGGUUGUAAACUGCUUUUGUACGGAACGAAACGGUCCUGGUUAAUACCUGGGGCUAAUGACGGUACCGUAAGAAUAAGCACCGGCUAACUACGUGCCAGCAGCCGCGGUAAUACGUAGGGUGCGAGCGUUAAUCGGAAUUACUGGGCGUAAAGCGUGCGCAGGCGGUGCUGUAAGACAGGCGUGAAAUCCCCGGGCUCAACCUGGGAAUUGCGCUUGUGACUGCAGUGCUGGAGUACGGCAGAGGGGGAUGGAAUUCCGCGUGUAGCAGUGAAAUGCGUAGAUAUGCGGAGGAACACCGAUGGCGAAGGCAGUCCCCUGGGCCUGUACUGACGCUCAUGCACGAAAGCGUGGGGAGCAAACAGGAUUAGAUACCCGUGUAGUCC
Molecule: ribosomal RNA, 450 nt
Filed under: uncultured bacterium
Lineage: Bacteria
Description: partial 16S ribosomal RNA
Rfam family: Bacterial small subunit ribosomal RNA
Source: RNAcentral